AGGAUGAACGCUGGCGGCGUGCCUAAUACAUGCAAGUCGAGCGGUAAGGCCCCUUCGGGGGUACACGAGCGGCGGACGGCUGAGUAACACGUAGGAACGUACCCCAAACUGAGGGAUAAGCACCAGAAAUGGUGUCUAAUACCGCAUGUGGUCUUCGGAUUAAAGCUUCGGCGGUUUGGGAACGGCCUGCGCAUGAUUAGCUUGUUGGUGAGGUAAAAGCUUACCAAGGCGACGAUCAUUAGCUGGUCUGAGAGGAUGAUCAGCCAGACUGGGACUGAGAACGGCCCAGACUCCUACGGGAGGCAGCAGUAGGGAAUUUUCCACAAUGGGCGAAAGCCUGAUGGAGCAACGCCGCGUGCAGGACGAAGGCCUUCGGGUUGUAAACUGCUUUUCUCGGGGACGAGUAAGGACGGUACCCGAGGAAUCAGCCCCGGCUAACUACGUGCCAGCAGCCGC
Molecule: ribosomal RNA, 456 nt
Filed under: uncultured bacterium
Lineage: Bacteria
Description: SSU rRNA
Rfam family: Bacterial small subunit ribosomal RNA
Source: RNAcentral